GAUGAACGCUGGCGGCGUGCUUAAUACAUGCAAGUCGAACGAGGGACUUCUGUCUUCGGAUGGAGGUUUCCUAGUGGCGAACGGGUGAGUAACGCGUUGGUGACCUGCCCCGAAGUGGGGGAUAACAGUUCGAAAGGACUGCUAAUACCUCAUGUGAUCAGCUGGAUUAGAUGCCUAUUGAUUAAAGGCGAAAGCCGCUUUGGGAGGGGCCUGCGUCCCAUCAGCUAGUUGGUAGGGUAAUGGCCUACCAAGGCGAUGACGGGUAGGGGACCUGAGAGGGUGGCCCCCCACACUGGCACUGAAACACGGGCCAGACACCUACGGGUGGCAGCAGUAGGGAAUAUUGGUCAAUGGGCGGAAGCCUGAACCAGCCAUGCCGCGUGCAGGAAGGAGGCCCUACGGGUUGUAAACUGCUUUUACCCGGGAAGAAACCGCCCCCUGUGGGGGGCGUUGCCGGUACCGGGGAAAAGGAUCGGCUAACUCCGUG
RNAcentral lists this ribosomal RNA (487 nucleotides) under uncultured bacterium. Its description in RNAcentral is "bacterial SSU rRNA". It matches the Rfam family "Bacterial small subunit ribosomal RNA", at positions 28 to 507 of the family's 1533-position model. The record is from RNAcentral.